Molecule: ribosomal RNA, 587 nt
Filed under: uncultured bacterium
Lineage: Bacteria
Description: partial 16S ribosomal RNA
Rfam family: Bacterial small subunit ribosomal RNA
Source: RNAcentral
UGGGGAAUUUUGGACAAUGGGCGAAAGCCUGAUCCAGCAAUGCCGCGUGUGUGAAGAAGGCCUUCGGGUUGUAAAGCACUUUUGUCCGGAAAGAAAUCCUUGGCUCUAAUACAGUCGGGGGAUGACGGUACCGGAAGAAUAAGCACCGGCUAACUACGUGCCAGCAGCCGCGGUAAUACGUAGGGUGCAAGCGUUAAUCGGAAUUACUGGGCGUAAAGCGUGCGCAGGCGGUUUGCUAAGACCGAUGUGAAAUCCCCGGGCUCAACCUGGGAACUGCAUUGGUGACUGGCAGGCUAGAGUAUGGCAGAGGGGGGUAAAAUUCCACGUGUAGCAGUGAAAUGCGUAGAGAUGUGGAGGAAUACCGAUGGCGAAGGCAGCCCCCUGGGCCAAUACUGACGCUCAUGCACGAAAGCGUGGGGAGCAAACAGGAUUAGAUACCCUGGUAGUCCACGCCCUAAACGAUGUCAACUAGUUGUUGGGGAUUCAUUUCCUUAGUAACGUAGCUAACGCGUGAAGUUGACCGCCUGGGGAGUACGGUCGCAAGAUUAAAAACUUAAAUGAAUUGACGGGGUCAUAGCUGUUUCCUG